GACGAACGCUGGCGGCGUGCUUAACACAUGCAAGUCGAACGGAAAGGCCCUGCUUUUGUGGGGUGCUCGAGUGGCGAACGGGUGAGUAACACGUGAGUAACCUGCCCUUGACUUUGGGAUAACUUCAGGAAACUGGGGCUAAUACCGGAUAGGAGCUCCUGCUGCAUGGUGGGGGUUGGAAAGUUUCGGCGGUUGGGGAUGGACUCGCGGCUUAUCAGCUUGUUGGUGGGGUAGUGGCUUACCAAGGCUUUGACGGGUAGCCGGCCUGAGAGGGUGACCGGCCACAUUGGGACUGGAAUACGGCCCAGACUCCUACGGUAGGUAGAAGUGGGGAAUAUUGCACAAUGGGCGGAAGCCUGAUGCAACAACGCCGCGUGCGGGAUGACGGCCUUCGGGUUGUAAACCGCUUUCGCCUGUGACGAAGCGUGAGUGACGGUAAUGGGUAAAGAAGCACCGGCUAAAUACGUG
This 468-nucleotide ribosomal RNA is filed under the name uncultured bacterium. Its description in RNAcentral is "partial 16S ribosomal RNA". It matches the Rfam family "Bacterial small subunit ribosomal RNA", at positions 28 to 507 of the family's 1533-position model. The record is from RNAcentral.